UACGUAGGGUGCGAGCGUUGUCCGGAAUUAUUGGGCGUAAAGAGCUCGUAGGCUGUGUGUCACGUCGGCCGUGAAAACCUGGGGCUUAACUCUGGGCGUGCGGUCGAUACGGGCAUCACUAGAGUUCGGCAGGGGAGACUGGAAUUCCUGGUGUAGCGGUGAAAUGCGCAGAUAUCAGGAGGAACACCGGUGGCGAAGGCGGGUCUCUGGGCCGAUACUGACGCUGAGGAGCGAAAGCAUGGGUAGCGAGCAGG
Molecule: ribosomal RNA, 254 nt
Filed under: uncultured bacterium
Lineage: Bacteria
Description: partial 16S ribosomal RNA
Rfam family: Bacterial small subunit ribosomal RNA
Source: RNAcentral